This 354-nucleotide ribosomal RNA is filed under the name Salmonella enterica subsp. enterica serovar Kentucky. RNAcentral describes it as "partial 23S ribosomal RNA". It matches the Rfam family "Bacterial large subunit ribosomal RNA", at positions 167 to 559 of the family's 2925-position model. Lineage: Bacteria; Pseudomonadati; Pseudomonadota; Gammaproteobacteria; Enterobacterales; Enterobacteriaceae. RNAcentral also lists the same sequence under 1 other name. The record is from RNAcentral.
UAGGUUAAUGAGGCGAACCGGGGGAACUGAAACAUCUAAGUACCCCGAGGAAAAGAAAUCAACCGAGAUUCCCCCAGUAGCGGCGAGCGAACGGGGAGGAGCCCAGAGCCUGAAUCAGCAUGUGUGUUAGUGGAAGCGUCUGGAAAGGCGCGCGAUACAGGGUGACAGCCCCGUACACAAAAGCGCAUGUGCUGUGAGCUCGAUGAGUAGGGCGGGACACGUGGUAUCCUGUCUGAAUAUGGGGGGACCAUCCUCCAAGGCUAAAUACUCCUGACUGACCGAUAGUGAACCAGUACCGUGAGGGAAAGGCGAAAAGAACCCCGGCGAGGGGAGUGAAAAAGAACCUGAAACCGU